AGCAGCCGCGGUAAUUCCAGCUCCAAUAGCGUAUAUUAAAGUUGCUGCAGUUAAAAAGCUCGUAGUUGAAUUUCGGGACCAUCAUGUCGGUCGUGCCUCGGUACGUACUGGCAUCGUCGGUUUCUCCCUUCUGACGAACCAUGAUGUCAUUUAUUUGGUGUCGUGGGGAAUCAGGACUGUUACUUUGAAAAAAUUAGAGUGUUUAAAGCAGGCUCACGCUUGAAUACAUUAGCAUGGAAUAAUGAAAUAGGACGUUUGAUUCUAUUUUGUUGGUUUCUAGGAUCGACGUAAUGAUUAAUAGGGAUAGUUGGGGGCAUUAGUAUUCAAUUGUCAGAGGUGAAAUUCUUGGAUUUAUUGAAGACUAACUACUGCGAAAGCAUUUGCCAAGGAUGUUUUCAUUAAUCAAGAACGAAAGUUAGGGGAUCGAAGACGAUCAGAUACCGUCGUAGUCUUAACCAUAAACUAUGCCGACUAGGGAUCGGAUGAUGUUAAUUUUUUAAUGACUCAUUCGGCGCCUUACG
This 521-nucleotide ribosomal RNA is filed under the name uncultured Glomeraceae. RNAcentral describes it as "SSU rRNA". It matches the Rfam family "Eukaryotic small subunit ribosomal RNA", at positions 569 to 1092 of the family's 1831-position model. Lineage: Eukaryota; Fungi; Glomeromycota; Glomeromycetes; Glomerales; Glomeraceae. The record is from RNAcentral.